Papaver somniferum (opium poppy) is the source of this 638-nucleotide long non-coding RNA. RefSeq lists it as uncharacterized. The transcript is spliced from 2 exons. The record is from RefSeq and is a predicted model, not a curated record. Lineage: Eukaryota; Viridiplantae; Streptophyta; Magnoliopsida; Ranunculales; Papaveraceae.
UUUGUAUAGUUAGCUAAAGAUAGUGUAUGAAGGGCGGAGAGAACUUGAAGUACAUCUAUAAGUGCAUGUGAGUAUAUCUGAAAUGAAACCUCACACAUAUCAAAUUUGAAAUUUAUGGCGAAACAGUUCUUCGCUUGCUCUCCAUUUUCCUUUUGUUUUGUUUUCGUGGUUUUGGUCGUCAUGGCCAACUAUCAAGGAGGAGUUUUAGUCAAUGGCAGAGAAGUUUGUGAUGGCAAUAUUUUGGGAGAAGUAGUAUCUCGCGGUGGUGACUGUCGUGAAUGCACUCCUCACUGUUUAAAGUUCUACGAUGAUGUUGUUCGGGGCGACUGUUUCCCGUAUGUGUGUUUCUGUUGCGGUCCUGUGAACGCUUUAAGAAACGUUGUCCUCGUUAAAUGAUCUUUCAUGGCACCCCGGCCACUAACUAAUUUCUGAUCGAUAUCUUAACUUUUCCUAUUAAUAUUUACUAUUUCCUCUGUUUUAAAAAUGUAAGCUUGUUUCAUGUAUAAAUUUCUCAUCAAACAAGCCCAUCUUUUUGAAACAGAAGGUAUGUAAUUCUUGGUCAGGGAUAUUGACACAUUACACUGUGUUUAUUUGUUACAGUAUAUUCUAGUCAAGAACUUGAAUUACUCUUAAAUUUA